This 158-nucleotide ribosomal RNA is filed under the name Leccinum roseofractum. Its description in RNAcentral is "5.8S ribosomal RNA". It matches the Rfam family "5.8S ribosomal RNA". Rfam says of the family: 5.8S ribosomal RNA (5.8S rRNA) is a component of the large subunit of the eukaryotic ribosome. The record is from RNAcentral. Lineage: Eukaryota; Fungi; Basidiomycota; Agaricomycetes; Boletales; Boletaceae.
CAACCUUCAGCAAUGGAUCUCUUGGUUCUCGCAUCGAUGAAGAACGCAGCGAAUCGCGAUAAGUAAUGUGAAUUGCAGAUUUUCAGUGAAUCAUCGAAUCUUUGUACGCACCUUGCGCCCCUCGGUAUUCCGAGGGGCAUGCCUGUUUGAGUGUCAUU